UUUUUUUUUUUUUUUUUCUUUCAUCCCCCUUGCUGUCGCCCCUUGAUCACCAAACUUUGUUCGGAGCUUUGGGGCACUCAGGCCUGAGAGCUCCUGAGGCCAGUGUGUGUGUGUGUGUAUAUGUGUGUUUGUGUGUGUGAAGAAAAUUUGCAGUCGUGACACUGGGAUAAAGAUCUGGCCUCCUCUUCACUACACACACUCGCUGCACGGGGUCCACGUCAGAUUGAUUUAUCCAGAUGCGCUUUAUUCUUUUAGCCGAAAAAAAAAAAAAAGAGAAGAGGAUCACGGGAUCUUAAACAAUCCCAUUUGUUUCGUCUCGGAAUACGCGAGCGUCCCGCGACCCGAGACCCCUGACGGACGCGAAAGGAAGCGGGCUGUAAAAGUCGAAAGGGACGCGAUCGGAUCUGAUCUCGGCGGAAUGGAAGUCGAAGCGCGAGGGUGUGUAAAGAUCCCCCACUUCGUAUUCCAGGUACGAGCGAUGGAGGGAAAGGGAGGAGAGAGAAGCGAAGAGAGACGGGAAUGAGGGAUACAAGAGAGAUUUACGCAAAGCAGAAAGGACGGAGGAGAUGCCUUUGCUCAAGCGUGCGCGCGUGUGUGUGUGUGUGUGUGUGUGUGUGUGUGUGUGUGUGUACCACCCUUUGAUUAGAUUAAGGUCUGAAUGGCAGCGUAAUGCGUUUGCUCUGUGGUCCAUGGCAGCGCCGCUGACCCCCCUGCGUCUGCCUCUCCGGGGGUCUUUCACCUCAACAUUUACAACCAGCGGAGUGUGUCUGAAAGUGUGUGUGUGUGUGUGUGUGUGUGUGUGUGUGUGUGU
Molecule: long non-coding RNA, 811 nt
Organism: Ictalurus punctatus (channel catfish)
Lineage: Eukaryota; Metazoa; Chordata; Actinopteri; Siluriformes; Ictaluridae
Source: Ensembl